GGUAUGUUAAGCUCUAUCAGCAGGGAAGAUAAUGACGGUACCUGACUAAGAAGCACCGGCUAAAUACGUGCCAGCAGCCGCGGUAAUACGUAUGGUGCAAGCGUUAUCCGGAUUUACUGGGUGUAAAGGGAGCGCAGGCGGUGCGGUAAGUCUGAUGUGAAAGCCCGGGGCUCAACCCCGGUACUGCAUUGGAAACUGUCGUACUAGAGUGUCGGAGGGGUAAGCGGAAUUCCUAGUGUAGCGGUGAAAUGCGUAGAUAUUAGGAGGAACACCAGUGGCGAAGGCGGCUUACUGGACGAUAACUGACGCUGAGGCUCGAAAGCGUGGGGAGCAAACAGGAUUAGAUACCCUGGUAGUCCACGCCGUAAA
Molecule: ribosomal RNA, 369 nt
Filed under: uncultured bacterium
Lineage: Bacteria
Description: bacterial SSU rRNA
Rfam family: Bacterial small subunit ribosomal RNA
Source: RNAcentral